This 542-nucleotide long non-coding RNA is filed under the name Olea europaea subsp. europaea. Lineage: Eukaryota; Viridiplantae; Streptophyta; Magnoliopsida; Lamiales; Oleaceae. The record is from RNAcentral.
AUAUCACCAAAUUGGUACUUAGCUCAUUCACUUCCUUGAUUUGUCCUUCAGACCAUCUUUUGGAUAAUUGCACUUUGGUCCCUAAACUUUUACUUUGAGUCAUUUUAGUCCUUUUUCGCGUCUUUUCUCCUGAAUUUCAUCAUGUUUAUCGAUGUUCCCUACAAUUCACAAAUGUAACAAAAUUAAGUCACAAUUCAAUCAUUUUGCUCGUAAUUAAGUCAUGUUUGUGACCUAGAUAAGUGUGCAAAAACACACUUAUCAAACCCCCCAAACUUGAACUAUUAUUUGUCCUCAAACAAGAUAGUGACUUAAUUCUGAACAAACAAGACUUAAUACCCUACUGUGGCUCAGGAUUGGACUAAGUAUUUGAUUUUAUGAAAAUUUAUCAGUGCAAAAAUGACAUCAACCUUUACCUGUUAAAUGCGUACUUGACGUGUGUGUGAAUUCAUGCCAACAUAUUAGGUUCAUGAUGAAUUUGAGUCCCGACCCCAAGUGGUCAAACGUAUCCUUACUCGCUCGAGAGAUACACAAUCCCCCAAAUU